This 66-nucleotide transfer RNA is filed under the name Phymatostetha stalii. RNAcentral's name for it is "tRNA-Pro". The record is from RNAcentral. Lineage: Eukaryota; Metazoa; Arthropoda; Insecta; Hemiptera; Cercopidae.
CAGCAAGUAGUUUAGUUAAAAAUUUAAGUUUUGGAGAUUUAGGAUGGGAUAUUUUCUUUUUGCUGA